GGCCGGUUAGCUCAGACUGUUGAGUGUAGCGCUAGCAACGCUAAGGUCGCAGGUUCGAUUCCCGUUUGGUCCC
This is a non-coding RNA of Apaloderma vittatum (bar-tailed trogon), 73 nucleotides long. Lineage: Eukaryota; Metazoa; Chordata; Aves; Trogoniformes; Trogonidae. The record is from Rfam.